CAUUUUUACCUCCCCCAACACAUGAAUGAUACUUUCCAAGCUUUCAGAAGUUUUACAAAGCAGUGCUUUUUGCGCACCCAAUCUGCAGGUGCAGCAAAGACCUUGGCAAGGGGCAAACUGAUUAUCACUUACGAAAACAGUUACAUCGUAUUGUUCAUAUUUCUUCAAGGUCUUGAGCAAAGCAUAAAUUCUCAUGAAAACGAAGCUAUUGCAGUUCCAGCAUCAGACAGCUAACCAGGUUUACUCUUUAUACUCUCACCACACCUUGAAUUGGCUCGUUGUUCCUUUUUCCUAUGCAUAUACUUCUUUGAGAAUUUGAUCUAAAGAGGCAUAGAGCAUGGGAAAAUGGGGCGACUGAGGUACUUCGCCAUUCAUUCCAAACUGUGCUGUCAAGAUGACUAUUGAAAUGUAUGGAGAGAAUGGACAUACAAAGAAAUGAAAGCCAUCUUUGAAGAGGAACUGGAGUUUUUUUUUCCUGUUAACAUUUUUUUAUAUUUCUGUUCAGUUGUUUCUGUUCAGUCUAAAUAGAGAUGUAUCACAUCAGUUCUGUGAAAAAAUAUUAUGAAAUCAUGUAAGCAUAUAUACUGCAUGUCAAAUAAACUGACGUUUCGUGCUCUGUUCAAAA
Long non-coding RNA from Numida meleagris (helmeted guineafowl), 625 nucleotides. RefSeq lists it as uncharacterized. NCBI's taxonomy places the organism in Eukaryota, Metazoa, Chordata, Aves, Galliformes, Numididae. The record is from RefSeq and is a predicted model, not a curated record. The transcript is spliced from 3 exons.